Molecule: non-coding RNA, 71 nt
Organism: Phrynosoma platyrhinos (Desert horned lizard)
Lineage: Eukaryota; Metazoa; Chordata; Lepidosauria; Squamata; Phrynosomatidae
Source: the annotation of a GenBank genome assembly
GCCAGCAUGGUGUAGUGGUUUGAGCAUUGGACUGAGAUACCAGAGACCUGGGUUCGAUUCCCCUUUUGGCC